This 465-nucleotide ribosomal RNA is filed under the name uncultured bacterium. Its description in RNAcentral is "partial 16S ribosomal RNA". It matches the Rfam family "Bacterial small subunit ribosomal RNA", at positions 338 to 795 of the family's 1533-position model. The record is from RNAcentral.
CCUACGGGAGGCAGCAGUGGGGAAUAUUGCGCAAUGGGCGAAAGCCUGACGCAGCGACGCCGCGUGAGGGAUGAAGGUCUUCGGAUCGUAAACCUCUGUCAGCAGGGAAGAACGGUCACUGUGCUAAUCAGCAGUGAAUUGACGGUACCUGCAAAGGAAGCACCGGCUAACUCCGUGCCAGCAGCCGCGGUAAUACGGAGGGUGCGAGCGUUGAUCGGAAUUACUGGGCGUAAAGCGCUCGUAGGCGGUAUGUCAAGUCAAGGGUGAAAUCCCCGGGCUCAACGUGGGAACUGCCGUUGAAACUGGCAAACUGGAGUGUGUGAGAGGAUAGCGGAAUUCGAGGUGUAGGAGUGAAAUGCGUAGAUAUCUGGAGGAACAUCAGUGGCGAAGGCGACUAUCUGGCACAUAACUGACGCUGAGGAGCGAAAGCGUGGGUAGCAAACAGGAUUAGAUACCCGGGUAGUC